ACCCCAAUUUAUUCUACCUACAAUCCACCCCACCCCAUCACAAUCUUUUUUCAUAUUUUGCUCAUUCUUUGUUUCUUCCCACCAAUCAGCCUCUUUCGAUGAUGAUAGACUCGACACGAACACCUAAUCAACGUCGAUGAUCUCAGCAAGAAAUCAAGGAUGAAAUCUGCCGCGAACUUCAAUUUCGUCGCUAGAAUCGCCGACCUCUAAGAUUCCAACUCUUUUUCCUCCACUAUCGACCAGACUGAAAUGUUCAAGUCCGUUGGCACUUCAUCGUCUCCAUUGAGGCCUUUAAUCCCUGGUUGAAAAUCAAAGUACUCCGAAAACCUUAAUCCUGGUUCACCUUCUUCAUUUCGUCAAGUUUCGACCAAUGUGUCUUUCUCCUUAUUCAUCCUACCACUGAGGGUUGCUUCCCCUUCUGAUCCUUAUGCCCUUCCUUUGAUAUAUUAGGGUUCUUUGUUUUUCCUCCUUUUUUUCUAUUUGAUUCUUUUCUCACUCCCUCUUUUUUCUUUUCAAGUGGUGGAGACUAGUUUACAUUGCAGUAGACAUUUCAGUUACAAAAACUCUACCUAUUGCUAUUUGAUUAGAUAUUUCAGCUACGUGAAUGGAUAUUAAAAGCAUGGUGUGGUCAUCAUAAUCGACGGUUUUGUUGAGGUCAAAGAGAUACGGGAAGAGUAAAUGCACAUCAAAAGGUGAGAGAAUAUCAAAGAACAUGUAAAUUUGAUUUUGUUAAUUAAAGAACAUGUAAAUUUGCUCCUAUUUGAACAAUUACAUGGUGUAUAUCAAAGGUAUUCUUGUUAUUUGUUUUGAUGCAA
Benincasa hispida (wax gourd) is the source of this 815-nucleotide long non-coding RNA. RefSeq lists it as uncharacterized. Lineage: Eukaryota; Viridiplantae; Streptophyta; Magnoliopsida; Cucurbitales; Cucurbitaceae. The record is from RefSeq and is a predicted model, not a curated record.